GAUGAACGCUGGCGGCGUGCCUAAUACAUGCAAGUCGAGCGAACAGACGCGGAGCUUGCUCCUCUGACGUUAGCGGAGGACGGGUGAGUAACACGUGGAUAACCUACCUAUAAGACUGGGAUAACUUCGGGAAACCGGAGCUAAUACCGGAUAAUAUAUUGCACCGCAUGGGUCAAUAGUGAAAGACGGUUUUGCUGUCUCUUAUCGAUGGAUACGAGCCGCAUUAGCUAGUUGGUAAGGUCACGGCUUACCAAGGCAACCAUGCGUAGCCGACCGGAGGGGGGGAUCGGCCACACGGGAACUUAGACACGGUCCAUACGCCUACGGGAGGCAGCAGUAGGGUAUCUUCCGCAGUGGUCGAAAGCCUGACGGAGCAACGCCGCGUGAGAGAUGAAGGUCUUCGGAUCGUAAAACUCUGUUAUGAGGGAAGAACAAAUGUGUAAGUAACUAUGCACUUCGUGACGGUACCUAAUCAGAAAGCCACGGCUAACUACGUG
RNAcentral lists this ribosomal RNA (497 nucleotides) under uncultured bacterium. RNAcentral's name for it is "partial 16S ribosomal RNA". It matches the Rfam family "Bacterial small subunit ribosomal RNA", at positions 28 to 507 of the family's 1533-position model. The record is from RNAcentral.